Molecule: ribosomal RNA, 443 nt
Filed under: uncultured bacterium
Lineage: Bacteria
Description: partial 16S ribosomal RNA
Rfam family: Bacterial small subunit ribosomal RNA
Source: RNAcentral
CCUACGGGAGGCAGCAGUGGGGAAUAUUGGGCAAUGGAGGAAACUCUGACCCAGCAACGCCGCGUGAAUGAUGAAGGUCUUCGGAUUGUAAAGUUCUUUUCGAAGGGAAGAAGAAAGUGACGGUACCUUAGGAAUAAGCCUCGGCUAACUACGUGCCAGCAGCCGCGGUAAUACGUAGGAGGCGAGCGUUAUCCGGAAUGACUGGGAGUAAAGGGGGCGUAGGUGGUUUGGCAAGUUAGUAGCGUAACUCAAAGGCUCAACCUUGGAACUACUACUAAAACUGUUGGACUUGAGGGCAGGAGGGGCAUCCGGAAUGCCUAGUGUAGCGGUGGAAUGCGUAGAUAUUAGGAGGAACACCAGUGGCGAAGGCGGGUUGCUAGACUGUAACUGACACUGAGGCACGAAAGCGUGGGGAGCAAACAGGAUUAGAUACCCCAGUAGUC